RNAcentral lists this ribosomal RNA (253 nucleotides) under uncultured bacterium. Its description in RNAcentral is "partial 16S ribosomal RNA". It matches the Rfam family "Bacterial small subunit ribosomal RNA", at positions 524 to 776 of the family's 1533-position model. The record is from RNAcentral.
UACGGAGGGUGCAAGCGUUACUCGGAAUUACUGGGCGUAAAGCGUGCGUGGGUGGUUCGUUAAGUCUGAUGUGAAAGCCCUGGGCUCAACCUGGGAAUGGCAUUGGAAACUGGCGACCUAGAGUGCGGUAGAGGGCAGUGGAAUUCCCGGUGUAGCAGUGAAAUGCGUAGAGAUCGGGAGGAACAUCUGUGGCGAAGGCGACUGCCUGGACCAGCACUGACACUGAGGCACGAAAGCGUGGGGAGCAAACAGG